GUCUUCGAUGGCUCAGUCGUAUAGAGCGUCUGCCUCCUAAGUAGGAGAUCCCAGGUUCGAAUCCCGGUCGGGGCA
Schistocerca serialis cubense is the source of this 75-nucleotide non-coding RNA. The record is from the annotation of a RefSeq genome assembly. NCBI's taxonomy places the organism in Eukaryota, Metazoa, Arthropoda, Insecta, Orthoptera, Acrididae.